This 474-nucleotide ribosomal RNA is filed under the name Pimephales promelas (fathead minnow). RNAcentral describes it as "partial large subunit ribosomal RNA". It matches the Rfam family "Bacterial large subunit ribosomal RNA", at positions 1857 to 2528 of the family's 2925-position model. The record is from RNAcentral. Lineage: Eukaryota; Metazoa; Chordata; Actinopteri; Cypriniformes; Leuciscidae.
GCCUGCCCAGUGACUACGGGUUCAACGGCCGCGGUAUAUUGACCGUGCAAAGGUAGCGCAAUCACUUGUCUCUUAAAUAGAGACCUGUAUGAAUGGCUAGACGAGGGCUUAACUGUCUCCCCCUUCCAGUCAGUGAAAUUGAUCUAUCCGUGCAGAAGCGGGUAUAAUUCUACAAGACGAGAAGACCCUUUGGAGCUUAAGGUACAAAAUUCACCCAUGUUAAACAACUCCGUAGAAAGCAAGAACUUUGUGGAUAUGAAACUUUACCUUCGGUUGGGGCGACCACGGAGGAAAAACAAGCCUCCGAGUGGACUGGGCCAAAAACCCCUAAAGCUAAAAGAGACAUCUUUAAGCCGCAGAACAUCUGACCAAUAAUGAUCCGGCUAAGAAGCCGAUCAACGGACCAAGUUACCCUAGGGAUAACAGCGCAAUCCUCUCCCAGAGCCCAUAUCGACGAGGGGGUUUACGACCUCG